UUUUAUGAGAGUUUGAUCCUGGCUCAGGACGAACGCUGGCGGCGUGCCUAAUACAUGCAAGUCGAACGCUUCUUUUUCCACCGGAGCUUGCUCCACCGGAAAAAGAGGAGUGGCGAACGGGUGAGUAACACGUGGGUAACCUGCCCAUCAGAAGGGGAUAACACUUGGAAACAGGUGCUAAUACCGUAUAACAAUCAAAACCGCAUGGUUUUGAUUUGAAAGGCGCUUUCGGGUGUCGCUGAUGGAUGGACCCGCGGUGCAUUAGCUAGUUGGUGAGGUAACGGCUCACCAAGGCCACGAUGCAUAGCCGACCUGAGAGGGUGAUCGGCCACAUUGGGACUGAGACACGGCCCAAACUCCUACGGGAGGCAGCAGGAGGAAAUCUUCGGCAAUGGACGAGAGUCUGACCGAGCAACGCCGCGUGAGUGAAGAAGGUUUUCGGAUCGUAAAACUC
RNAcentral lists this ribosomal RNA (454 nucleotides) under Enterococcus faecium. RNAcentral's name for it is "bacterial SSU rRNA". It matches the Rfam family "Bacterial small subunit ribosomal RNA", at positions 1 to 433 of the family's 1533-position model. The record is from RNAcentral. Lineage: Bacteria; Bacillati; Bacillota; Bacilli; Lactobacillales; Enterococcaceae.